RNAcentral lists this transfer RNA (65 nucleotides) under Anterhynchium abdominale. Its description in RNAcentral is "tRNA-Gln". The record is from RNAcentral. Lineage: Eukaryota; Metazoa; Arthropoda; Insecta; Hymenoptera; Vespidae.
UAUAUUUAGGUGUAAGGCAUAGAAAUUUUUGGAAUUUCAGGAAAUAAUAAAAUUAUUAAAUAUAA